Molecule: unclassified non-coding RNA, 5477 nt
Filed under: Hevea brasiliensis (rubber tree)
Lineage: Eukaryota; Viridiplantae; Streptophyta; Magnoliopsida; Malpighiales; Euphorbiaceae
Source: RNAcentral
UUCUCUUAAUUCAAAGUGAGUAAUGGCGCAGAUAUUGUUGCACGGGACUUUAUAUGCAACGAUCUAUGAGGUGGAUAAACUUCAGUGUGGAGGUGGAUUAAACUUCUUUCACAAGCUUAUGGAAAACGUUGAGGCGACGCUUGGUUUUGGCAAAGGAAGCAGUAAACUCUAUGCAACUGUUGACCUGGAAAAGGCUAGAGUUGGGAGGACCAGAGUUCUUGAAAAAGAAGAUACCAAUCCUAGGUGGUAUGAAUCUUUUAUCAUUUACUGUGCACAUCUGGCUUCAAAUGUCAUAUUCACAAUCAAGGAUGAUAAUCCCAUUGGGGCAACCUUAAUUGGAAGGGCAUAUGUACCAGUUGAAGAGCUCAUAGAUGGGGAAGAGAUAGAUAGAUUGGUUGAGAUAUUGGAUGAAGACAAAAAUCCUGUACGUGGUGGUUCUAAGAUCCAUGUGAAGCUGCAGUACUUUGAUGUUAGCAAGGACCCUAACUGGGGCCGGGGUAUUAAGAGUCAAAAAUAUCCUGGAGUGCCAUAUACAUUCUACUCACAGAGAAACGGAUGUAAGGUUUCUCUCUACCAAGACGCUCACGUCCCAGACAAAUUUGUUCCUAAAAUCCCUCUUGCUGGAGGCAAGUACUAUGAGCCCCACAGAUGUUGGGAAGAUAUUUUUGAUGCAAUUACAAAUGCAAAACACUUGAUCUACAUCACUGGCUGGUCUGUUUAUACUGAAAUAAGCUUGGUAAGGGAUUCAAGGAGGCCGAAGCCAGGAGGAGACAUAACUCUUGGUGAGCUGCUAAAGAAGAAGGCCAGUGAAGGUGUUAGGGUUCUUAUGCUUGUUUGGGAUGACAGAACCUCAGUUGGUUUGUUGAAAAAGGAUGGACUGAUGGCCACUCAUGAUGAAGAAACUGAACAUUUCUUCCAGAAUACUGAUGUACAUUGUGUGUUAUGUCCCCGAAAUCCUGAUGAUGGUGGAAGCUUCGUUCAGGAUCUACAAAUCUCUACCAUGUUCACUCAUCACCAGAAAAUUGUGGUGGUGGACAGUGCAAUGCCAAGUGGAGAUUCCCAGAGGAGGAGAAUUGUUAGUUUUGUGGGGGGUCUUGACCUGUGUGAUGGGAGAUAUGAUUCCCCAUUUCAUUCUCUCUUCAGGACAUUGGACACAGCGCACCAUGAUGAUUUCCAUCAGCCCAACUUUGCGGGUGCUUCAAUUGAAAAAGGUGGUCCAAGAGAACCUUGGCAUGACAUCCACUCCAGACUUGAAGGACCUAUUGCUUGGGAUGUCUUGUUUAAUUUUGAGCAGAGAUGGAGAAAGCAAGGAGGUAAAGAUCUGCUUGUUCAGCUGAGAGAACUGGAAGAUAUCAUCAUUCCCCCAUCUCCAGUUAUGUACCCUGAGGACUAUGAAACAUGGAAUGUCCAGUUGUUUAGAUCCAUUGAUGGUGGGGCUGCAUUUGGUUUCCCUGAGACUCCUGAAGAUGCUGCCAGAUCUGGGCUUGUCAGUGGGAAGGAUAAUAUCAUUGACCGGAGCAUUCAAGAUGCUUAUAUCCAUGCCAUUCGAAGGGCAAAGAAUUUCAUUUAUAUUGAAAAUCAAUAUUUCCUUGGAAGUUCAUUUGGUUGGGCUCCUGAUGGAAUUAAGCCUGAAGACAUUAAUGCAUUGCAUGUAAUCCCAAAGGAACUAUCACUUAAGAUAGUUAGCAAGAUUGAGGCUGGGGAGAGGUUCACUGUGUAUGUUGUUGUCCCAAUGUGGCCAGAGGGUAUACCAGAGAGUGGAUCAGUUCAGGCAAUAUUAGAUUGGCAGAGGAGGACAAUGGAAAUGAUGUAUAAAGAUGUUGUGCAGGCUCUUCGAGCCCAGGGUAUUGAGGAUGAUCCUCGAAACUACUUGACAUUUUUUUGUCUUGGGAACCGCGAAGUGAAGAAGAGUGGUGAAUAUGAACCUUCGGAAAGACCAGAGUCUGAUUCAGAUUAUAUGAGAGCUCAGGAGGCACGGCGCUUCAUGAUUUAUGUUCAUGCAAAGAUGAUGAUUGUUGACGAUGAAUACAUAAUAAUUGGGUCUGCCAACAUCAACCAAAGAUCAAUGGAUGGUGCCAGGGACUCAGAAAUAGCCAUGGGAGCUUAUCAACCAUAUCACUUGUCGACCAGGCAGCCAGCACGAGGUCAAGUUCAUGGCUUCCGAAUGGCACUAUGGUAUGAACACCUUGGCAUGCUUGAUGAUACCUUCCUUAUUCCAGAAAGUGAGGAGUGUGUCAGGAAGGUGAACCAGAUAGCAGAUAAAUACUGGGAUCUAUAUUCAAGCGAGACACUUGAACAUGACUUACCUGGUCAUUUGCUCCGCUAUCCUGUUGAAAUUGCUAGUGAAGGAGAUGUGACACAGCUCCCUGGAACUGAAUUCUUCCCUGACACCAAGGCUCGAGUUCUAGGUGCCAAAUCUGAUUACCUCCCUCCUAUCCUUACAACAUAAUGGAACUCUAUGCAGUUCUCAAAUAAUAGCCUGCUUUAUCAUCUGGUAUGUGCUACUAGUUUUAGGAAAUAAUAAAUCAUGUUACGCAAUGCUGCCUGUUUUAUUUUCUUGCUGUGAUGUUUAUGUCAGGAUUUACAGAGAUAUGUUAAUGCUAUGGUGUGAUUUGAUUCCAGACUUUUGAACUUCAAGCCUUUUUUUUUUUUUUUAAAGUGCAGGGUUUAAUUAGAUGUUGACCCCACAAUAACCUGCCAAGGAAACUUCAAUAUUAGGAUAUUAGCCAGUAGGAAAGAAGGAAAAUUUUUGUAUUCUUCGCAUCCUCCAAUAGCUAUAAGACUGACGAUGUUAAUGGCUAUCAUCCAAGCAUACCUUUAGCUCCUCCUUUUCCUGCAUAACACCAUGGCUCUCUCACUAGUACCAUGUCCUCUUUGCUUCUUUCUUUUUGUGCUACUGCCAUUUUUUACUACUGCACAAACUUACAGCAACAUAUCUUUAGGCUUAUCCCUCACUGCACAGAAUGAUAAUUCUCAAUGGGUAUCUCCAUCUGGUGAUUUUGCUUUUGGAUUCCAACAAAUUGACAAUGAUGGCUACUUACUAGCUAUAUGGUUCAACAAGGUACCUGACAGAACCAUAGUCUGGUCAGCUAACAGAAAUAAUCUAGUCCAAAGUGGAUCCAAAGUUCAACUUACCACAGAUGGUCAGUUGCUCCUCAAUGAUCAAUCAGGCACACAAAUAUGGAAUGCCAAUUCAGUUGCUGCUGGGGUUUCCUAUGCAGCCAUGCUUGACACUGGAAACUUCGUACUAGCUAACGAAGAUUCUGAUAUCCUUUGGGAAAGUUUUGAUCAACCAACUGACACGAUAUUACCCACACAAACUAUGGAUCAAGGAGGUGAGCUUGUUGCUCGUUACUCAGAAACAAAUUUUUCCCAUGGAAAAUUCAAGUUUACGCUACAGUCUGAUGGGAAUCUCCUCCUGUACACCAGAAGAUAUCCAUUGGAUACUUCCAAUGUCGCUUAUUGGUCUACAACAACAUCCAUAGGCAGUGGCUAUAGGGUGACCUUCAACCAGUCUGGCUAUGUUUCCCUCAUUGCAAGAAAUGGAAGCUUACUUAAUUAUGUAUUUUCUGUUGCAGUAUCAACGCAGAAUUUCUACCAAAGGGCAACCAUUGACCACGACGGGGUUUUUAGGCUCUAUGUCUACCCGAAGAAUGUCACUUCAAGUGGUGGAAAGUGGCCAAUGGCUUGGACAACUUCGUCCUUUAUACCUUCAAAUAUCUGCAUCACAAUUAUGGGGGAGAAAGGCAGUGGAGCUUGUGGUUUCAAUAGCUACUGUAGAUUGGGAGACGAUCAAAGACCAAAAUGUCAUUGUCCACCCGGUUACACUUUCUCGGAUCCAAAGGAUGUGAGCAAGGGAUGCCGACAGAACUUUGUUGCACAGAAUUGUGAUACAGCAUCGCAGGAAACAGAUCUUUUUGAGUUCAGGGAGAUGUUUAAUGCAGAUUGGCCGAUGAUUGAUUUUGAAUCUUUUAAAUCUGUGAAUGAGGAUUGGUGCAGACAAGCUUGCUUGAGUGAUUGUUACUGCGCUGUUGCCAUCUUUAGAGAUGGAAAUUGUUGGAAGAAGCAAAUCCCUCUCGCAAACGGCAGAUCUGAUUCUAGUACUGGAGGCAAGGCCCUGAUAAAAAUAAGGAAAGAUAAUUCCACUUCAGUGGCAUCUUCAGGGUCAAAGAAGAAAGAUCAAUCAACUUUGAUCAUCACUGGAUCAGUAUUUUUAGGUAUCUCCAUCUUCUUGAAUGGUCUCUUACUGGUAGCAACCUUAAUGUUUUCUCUUCGCUCAAGUCAACAAAAAUCAAAAACUGUUCACCCACACUCACACCAAGGCAAUCUAGCCAUGAAUCCACGAAGUUUCACUUAUAAUGAGCUGGAAGUAGCUACACGAGUGUUUAAGGAAGAACUGGGUAGUGGUGCUUUUGGAACUGUAUACAAAGGGGUUUUGGGAUAUGAAAAUACAGAGUUUGUUGCAGUCAAGAAGCUAGGAAAGGUGGUGACAGUCACAGAAGGUGAGAAGGAAUUUGAAUCAGAAUUGAGUAGUAUCGGCAGAACAAAUCACAAGAAUCUUGUCAAACUUCUAGGAUUCUGUAAUGAGAAGCAAAAUCGCCUACUGGUUUAUGAAUACAUGAGCAAUGGUUGUUUGGCAAAUUUCCUGUUUGGAGAUUCAAGGCUUGACUGGUUCAGAAGAACGCAAAUUGCUUUUGGAGUAGCAAGAGGGCUCUCUUAUCUCCAUGAAGAAUGCAGCACCCAGAUCAUACAUUGUGAUGUCAAGCCACAAAAUAUUCUUUUAGAUGAAACUCUCACAGCAAGAAUUUCCGACUUUGGACUAGCCAAGCUUUUGAAGACAGAUCAGUCCCGCACUUUUACUGCAAUCAGGGGAACGAAAGGAUAUGUGGCCCCUGAAUGGUUCAAGAGCAUGCCUAUUACAGCCAAAGUAGAUGUGUACAGCUUUGGCAUUUUAUUUCUAGAGAUCAUGUGUUGCCGGAGGAAUGUGGCUGCGAAUGUUCCAGAAAAUGAAGCUAUUCUUGUAGACUGGGUGUCCAGCUGUUUUGAGGAAAAUGAAUUGCACAAGCUGGUCAGUGCAGAAGAAGUAGAUGAGCAAACAUUUCAGAGAAUGGUUUGUAUUGGACUUUGGUGCAUCCAAGAGGAUCCAUCGGUUCGUCCAUCAAUGAAGAAGGUGGUUUUAAUGUUGGAAGGUUUUGCAGAAAUACCUAUUCCUCCCAGCCCUGCUUCUGGUAGCAGUACAUUCUAGUUGGUGUGGUUUUUCGAUCGUCUCAUUUCUUCUUUAAUUUAUAUAUUUUAUCGCCCUACAGUGCAUGUGCCUUGAACCUACUUUAUUUGUUGUUGAAUGUUGAACUAAUCUAAUUUAAAUUGUAGAUGAUGAUUAGUUUUUCCAAUGUGUUAUUAUUCCAAAUCAAAAUUGUCAGAAUUUGAACUCUAAAUGUUUUAUAUUAUGAGAUAUGAAUUCGAUAAUUGAAUUAAUU